RNAcentral lists this ribosomal RNA (427 nucleotides) under uncultured bacterium. Its description in RNAcentral is "bacterial SSU rRNA". It matches the Rfam family "Bacterial small subunit ribosomal RNA", at positions 355 to 774 of the family's 1533-position model. The record is from RNAcentral.
UAGGGAAUUUUGGACAAUGGGCGCAAGCCUGAUCCAGCAAUGCCGCGUGCAGGAUGAAGGCCUUCGGGUUGUAAACUGCUUUUGUACGGAGCGAAAAGGUCUGCCCUAAUACGGUGGGCUCAUGACGGUACCGUAAGAAUAAGCACCGGCUAACUACGUGCCAGUAGCCGCGGUAAUACGUAGGGUGCGAGCGUUAAUCGGAAUUACUGGGCGUAAAGCGUGCGCAGGCGGUUAUAUAAGACAGAUGUGAAAUCCCCGUGCUCAACCUGGGACCUGCAUUUGUGACUGUAUAGCUAGAGUACGGUAGGGGGGGAUGGAAUUCCGCGUGUAGCAGUGAAAUGCGUAGAUAUGCGGAGGAACGCCGAUGGCGAAGGCAAUCCCCUGGACCUGUACUGACGCUCAUGCACGAAAGCGUGGGGAGCAAACA